UUUUUUUUUUUGACAUUUUGCCGCUCUACAGAAUUUAAAUACCCUACACGUUAUUGAUCUGACUACGUAAAGAAGUUAUACAAAAAGUGGAAAAGACGUUCAAAAAUGAUAAAAAUCUGAUCUCCAAUCACCUCAAAAUAAAUACUUGAAAUUUUCGUACGCCCAAAAAUUGACAAACCCAAAACCUCCCAUUACAACGUUGAAGCAAGAUCCACUUACUUGACGAUUGAAAAAACCCAUCCCUGAUUCCUUCAUGCCAGCGUUUCAACGAGCACUGAAGGAAAACCCAGCAACAAAGUGGUGAAAAAUCGUUCGCUGAGUCCAUCUUGCCGACGAACGUUCGAUUGGAAAGUAAUAAUUGCAAUCGGAAAAACUGCGAAUGAUUUGGGAAAGGAAAACAACAAACGAUUGAGCCUACCCCCGCCUCUCAUAUUUGGCACUUGCUUCGAGUCCUCUACUGUCGACCACCAAUUGCAAUUCAAGUUCGCAAUUAUUAUCUCUUAGAAGUAGAUAUAUUAUUUUCUACUUGUUUAGUUGACUAACUUCUAGCAUAGAUUAGAGAAUCACACGCGCGAAGGAGUUGGGAUGACAAGCCUAUGUAUGAAAUUCACAUCAGUGAAUACAAUUUAGAGCUAUUGGAUUACGACAUUUUAUUUAAAUAAUAGAGAUUAGCAUCCUCCUUGUGUUCAAUUUAUUUUCUUCUUUUACAAUUUCAUUAGAACUUUAUAAUUUUCCAGCUCUAAG
Molecule: long non-coding RNA, 744 nt
Filed under: Olea europaea (common olive)
Lineage: Eukaryota; Viridiplantae; Streptophyta; Magnoliopsida; Lamiales; Oleaceae
Description: long non-coding RNA (OEUR_LNC002817)
Source: RNAcentral